GGGGUCGACUGGAUUUGACAGCAAGAUGAAUCAGUCAUGUAAGCAUGUGGAGUAUUGAAUGUUAGCUCCUUAAAUCAAAAUGCUCAUAUCCAUUUAAUUGGAGAAAACAACUACGCGUUAGCUGCAUAAUAAGACCGAGUCUUAUCAUCUUAAUCGCUUCACAAUAGUGAACCGACUAACUACCCGGUAAUGAAUCCCCGUUUAACUGUUCAUUACAAUGGGUAUCAGUUUGUUAAACUAGUGCACUUAGAGUCUUGAUAAGUGUGCGAAAUUAAAAAGAAUAAGUCUGUAGUGGAUUGCUCAUGGUCAGCUACUUAUCGAAAAUUAAUUGUGAGAUAAACAUGUAGAAGGCACGAAUGUUCCUUGUUUGGACGAGGGUUCGAUUCCCUCCGACUCCACUU
RNAcentral lists this transfer-messenger RNA (401 nucleotides) under Flavobacteriales. Its description in RNAcentral is "CAJJDF01 sp018609055 Standard tmRNA". It matches the Rfam family "transfer-messenger RNA". Rfam says of the family: Bacterial tmRNA, also known as 10Sa RNA or SsrA, is named for its dual tRNA and mRNA-like properties. Its role is to liberate the mRNA from a stalled ribosome. To accomplish this part of the tmRNA is used as a reading frame that ends in a translation stop signal. The record is from RNAcentral. RNAcentral also lists the same sequence under 1 other name. Lineage: Bacteria; Pseudomonadati; Bacteroidota; Flavobacteriia.